RNAcentral lists this ribosomal RNA (497 nucleotides) under uncultured bacterium. RNAcentral's name for it is "partial 16S ribosomal RNA". It matches the Rfam family "Bacterial small subunit ribosomal RNA", at positions 28 to 507 of the family's 1533-position model. The record is from RNAcentral.
GACGAACGCUGGCGGCGUGCCUAAUACAUGCAAGUUGAGCGCUGAAGGCUGGUACUUGUACCAACUGGAUGAGCAGCGAACGGGUGAGUAACGCGUGGGGAAUCUGCCUUUGAGCGGGGGACAACAUUUGGAAACGAAUGCUAAUACCGCAUAAAAACUUUAAACACAAGUUUUAAGUUUGAAAGAUGCAAUUGCAUCACUCAAAGAUGAUCCCGCGUUGUAUUAGCUAGUUGGUGAGGUAAAGGCUCACUAAGGCGAUGAUACAUAGCCGACCUGAGAGGACGAGCGGCCGGAUUGAGACUGAGACACGGCCCAAACGGCUACGGAAGGCAGCAGUAGGGAAUCUUCAGCAAUGGACGAAAGUCUGAGCGAGCAACGCCGCGUGAGUGAAGAGGGUUUUCGGGUCGUAAAACUCUGUUGGUAGAGAAGAACGUUGGUGAGAGUGGAAAGCUCAGCAAGUGACGGUAACUACCCAGAAAGGGACGGCUAACUACGUG